Molecule: ribosomal RNA, 400 nt
Filed under: phytoplankton environmental sample
Lineage: Eukaryota
Description: partial small subunit ribosomal RNA
Rfam family: Eukaryotic small subunit ribosomal RNA
Source: RNAcentral
AGCUCCAGUAGCGUAUAUUAAAGUUGUUGCAGUUAAAAAGCUCGUAGUUGGAUUUCUGGUUCGACAGCGCUGAUCCGCCCUCAGUGGUGAGUGUCGGUUGUCUGUCUGCCAUCCUUCCGCAAAGCGUUUCUACCUUUCAUUAGGACGGGAUCGCGAUGUGGAACUUUUACUUUGAAAAAAUUAGAGUGUUCAAAGCAGGCUUGUGCCAUUGAAUACAUUAGCAUGGAAUAAUAAUUUAGGACUUUGGUUCUAUUUUGUUGGUUUUCAGGAUCGAAGUAAUGAUUGAUAGGGAUAGUUGGGGGUGCUAGUAUUCAGCGGCCAGAGGUGAAAUUCUCGGAUUCGCUGAAGACUAACUUAUGCGAAAGCAUUCACCAAGGAUGUCUUCUUUAAUCAAGAACGA